GAUGAACGCUAGCGGCAGGCCUAAUACAUGCAAGUCGAACGGGUUGUUGCAGCAAUGCAACGAUCAGUGGCGCACGGGUGCGUAACGCGUAUGCAACCUACCUUAAACUGGGGGAUAGCCUUCCGAAAGGGAGAUUAAUACCGCAUAAGAUCACACGAGGGCAUCUGAGAGUGAUUAAAGAUUUAUUGGUUUAAGAUGGGCAUGCGUGCCAUUAGCUAGUUGGUAGGGUAAUGGCCUACCAAGGCUACGAUGGCUAGGGGUUCUGAGAGGAUGAUCCCCCACACUGGUACUGAGAUACGGACCAGACUCCUACGGGAGGCAGCAGUAGGGAAUAUUGGGCAAUGGACGGAAGUCUGACCCAGCCAUGCCGCGUGCAGGAUGAAGGCCUUCUGGGUUGUAAACUGCUUUUAUCUAGGAAGAAAAAGCCCAUGCGUGGGAAACUGACGGUACUAGAUGAAUAAGCACCGGCUAACUCCGUGCCAGCAGCCGCGGUAAUACGGAGGGUGCAAGCGUUGUCCGGAUUUAUUGGGUUUAAAGGGUGCGUAGGCGGCCCGGUAAGUCAGUGGUGAAAGCCUCCAGCUCAACUGGAGAACUGCCAUUGAUACUGCCGGGCUUGAGUACAGACGAGUUGG
RNAcentral lists this ribosomal RNA (632 nucleotides) under uncultured soil bacterium. RNAcentral describes it as "bacterial SSU rRNA". It matches the Rfam family "Bacterial small subunit ribosomal RNA", at positions 28 to 660 of the family's 1533-position model. The record is from RNAcentral.